UACGAAGGGUGCAAACGUUGCUCGGAAUUAUUGGGCGUAAAGCGCACGUAGGCGGCUUUGCAAGUCCCAUGUGAAAUCCCACGGCUCAACCGUGGAAGUGCAUGGGAAACUGCAGAGCUUGAGUACUUAAGAGGAUCGCGGAAUUCCCGGUGUAGAGGUGAAAUUCGUAGAUAUCGGGAGGAACACCAGUGGCGAAGGCGGCGAUCUGGGAAGAUACUGACGCUGAGGUGCGAAAGCGUGGGGAGCAACAGG
This 252-nucleotide ribosomal RNA is filed under the name uncultured bacterium. RNAcentral's name for it is "partial 16S ribosomal RNA". It matches the Rfam family "Bacterial small subunit ribosomal RNA", at positions 524 to 775 of the family's 1533-position model. The record is from RNAcentral.